GUCUAUGGCCAUACCACCCUGAAUGCGCCUGAUCUCGUCUGAUCUCGGAAGCUAAGCAGGGUCGGGCCUGGUUAGUACUUGGAUGGGAGAAAUUCCCAACUAGACCUAGAGGGUAUUAUGCU
RNAcentral lists this ribosomal RNA (122 nucleotides) under Neogale vison (American mink). The record is from RNAcentral. Lineage: Eukaryota; Metazoa; Chordata; Mammalia; Carnivora; Mustelidae.